Molecule: non-coding RNA, 1729 nt
Organism: Salvia hispanica
Lineage: Eukaryota; Viridiplantae; Streptophyta; Magnoliopsida; Lamiales; Lamiaceae
Source: RefSeq, a predicted model, not a curated record
UCGGAAGCUAUAUUCGGAAAUUUUGAAUUUAGGGUUUUUCUGUAUUGUGUUUUGUUAUCGGAACAACUCAGGCUCUCCCAUUCGUCUCUCACAUCACUCGAAUCAUGGCGAACACUGCAACAAGGUCUUUUCUGCAAGUGGCGGUUACAGAGGAGGCCGCGCCGCCGCUCAGAGUCGUCCAGAUCGAAGGACUGGUUAUUUUGAAGAUAAUCAAGCACUGCAAGGAGUUAUCACCAGCUUUGGUUACUGGACAGCUUCUUGGUUUGGACGUUGGUAGUGUUCUCGAAGUCACUAAUUGCUUCCCAUUCCCGAUUCGUGAGGAAGAUGAAGAGGUUGAAGCCGAAGGUGCUAAUUAUCAGCUUGAGAUGAUGAGAUGCCUUAGGGAGGUUAAUGUCGACAACAACACAGUUGGUUGGUAUCAAUCAACUAUGUUUGGCUCUUUCCAGACUGGGGAACUGAUAGAGACUUUUAUGAAUUACCAGGAAAAUAUAAGACGAUGUGUCUGCAUCAUUUAUGACCCUUCAAGAGCUAAUCAAGGAGUCCUAGCUUUAAAGGCCCUGAAGCUUUCUGAUACCUUCAUGGAGCUCUAUCGCACAAAUAACUUCAAAGGGGAGAAGUUGAGAGAGAAAAAUCUUUCCUUUGUGGAUAUUUUUGAAGAGAUUCCUAUUAAGGUUUCAAAUUCUGCUCUAAUCAGCGCAUUUAUGACUGAGCUUGAGGCAGAUACUCCAGUCACCCAGUGUGAUUAUGAUAGAUUGCAAUUAUCAACCAGUCCAAUUUUGGAGAGAAAUGUGGAAUUUCUAAUUGAAUGCAUGGAUGACUUGUCAAUGGAACAACAAAAGUUCCAAUUCUACUACAGGAAUCUGUCUCGUCAAGAAGCACAGAAGCAGGCCUGGCUUCAGAAGAGAAGGGCUGAAAAUGCUGCGCGGAAGAAUGCAGGGGAAGAGCCAUUACCUGAGGAGGAUCCCACAAACCCUCUCUUCAAGCCUAUCCCCGAGCCAUCAAGAUUGGAUAGUUUCCUUAUAACAAAUCAAAUUGCAAAUUAUUGCAACCAAAUCAAUGGAGUGGCUGGACAAAGCUUUAGCAGACUGUAUCUGAUGAAGGCACUUCAUGAAAAGUAAAGAUGCACCCCUGUGGUGGGACGUGGUAUUCAAUCGCUGCUCAUGGUUGUAGCUUAUCAGACGAGAUAAGAAUUGUUCUGCAGCAUGAAGGUUCAAUAUUUGGAGUAUUCCUGGCAUCUAAUGGUUGUGAGAUACUACUUGUUUGUGGAUGACAAUGCCAUCUUGAGGAUUGAUCAAUCGGAAGGUUGGCAUGAGUAUUCCAAUACUAAUGAAAUCACUUCUGAGUUCGAUUGGUUUUUCGGAUUAGUCGCUCUUAUUCCAUUUGAAAUGGCAUGGAGAAAUGGAAAGAUAUGGAGGAUUGGAAGAGUAGUACUAUGAAAAUUGGUCUCUAACACCAUCAACUUUGGUCAAAUUUUGGUAUUUCCCACGAACUUUAAAAUUGGUUUAGAAUAUCACAAACUUUACAUUUUGUUUGUUAUUUCUCAUGACAGCCAAAUAAGAUAUCUUUUGCAAAAAUCUUAUUAUACAUGAGCAACCGUGACAAGUAGGAUAAAAAGCUACGUAGAAAAUAACGUUGAUUUAGUAGUCCCAAGUAGGAUAAAAAAUGCACAGAAGUUGGUGGUAUAUGGUGAUUGAGCUAUGGGAAAUAACAAACACAAUAUAAAGUUUGU